AGGUCAAGUGAAGAAGGGCGCACGGUGAAUGCCUUGGCACUGGAAGCCGAUGAAGGACGCGACUAACCGCGAAAGUCUUCGGGGAGCCGUAAGUAGGCUUUGAUCCGGAGGUCUCCGAAUGGGGGAACCCAGCAUGUGCAGACAUGCUAUCCUUAAGUGAAUACAUAGCUUAAGGAGGGAACACGCAGUGAACUGAAACAUCUAAGUAGCUGCAGGAAGAGAAAGAAAUAUCGAUUUCCCAAGUAGCGGCGAGCGAACAGGAAAGAGCCCAAACCGGCAGAUUUAUCUGCCGGGGUUGUAGGACUGAGACAUGGCACUUCAGAGGAUAGCAGAAGCGUUUGGGAA
RNAcentral lists this ribosomal RNA (345 nucleotides) under Lactobacillus delbrueckii subsp. bulgaricus. RNAcentral's name for it is "partial 23S ribosomal RNA". It matches the Rfam family "Bacterial large subunit ribosomal RNA", at positions 1 to 348 of the family's 2925-position model. Lineage: Bacteria; Bacillati; Bacillota; Bacilli; Lactobacillales; Lactobacillaceae. The record is from RNAcentral.